UGUUAAAAUGAGUAAGAAAAUCCAAGUAUUUUAGGGUAUCCAUGAGUUCAAAUUCGAUGCCAAGACAUGAUAAUUCUAAAUCAGAUUCAAGUUCAAAUUGAUAGGGAAUGGUAUCAGAUCCUAACAGUCGUGUGCUCGAGUAGAGCAAUCUAGGCAUGGUGUAGUUUUACUUCAAUUUCAUUGACUAUGCAUCAGACAACUAACAACGAGGGCACUGAGUUUAUCUGGUGAACCAAAAUGCUUACAAGGCUAUCUCAUCAUUGUCCCCUAUGCAUAUGCAAUGAUCCUAAAUGAAACACUCUAGACUCGAUCCUAAAUGCAAUGCAACUAUAUGAACACUCUGUUUUUGUGAAAUCAUUUUCUGAAAUUUUUCAAUUUUUUUUUUGGUUUUUUCUAUGCCUUAGAUGAAUGCAGACUCAAGAUUAUAUACAACGCAACACACACUUCCUGAGCCCUCCCCCAAACUUAAAUCACACAGUCCACUGUGUGACCAAAUUUGGAAGAGAGUACUCAGGACAAAACACAUCACAGAAACAAAAUAAAAACAGGAGAUGGUAUAUUACAAUGGUGGAGUGAGGUGCUUACCUCAGUGGAAGAAGGAGCGGAGUUGGUCAUCAACAGCCGCCUGUGAAUGCUCCCAGGCCAUCGAAGAAUCUCUCUGUUGUGUCUCAGCUUCCCCCUGGGGGUACUCAACCUCUGCUCCUUAGUCGCGGCCAGCACCGCUCUGAUGAUACUCGAUCUCUCUUUUUCUGCUGCGGCCAGCACCGCGAUCGCGUAAGCUACGGGACUGGAGAAGUCGUGUACUCCUGCUGCCAGACCGAGCGAGUGCAGCCUUCUUCUUUCUCCCGAGCUCCCGAGGCUCGAAUGAUGAAUGCCACGCAGGGACUUGUGAGACUACUCGGUCACUAGGCUCAGGCAUGUGGUGACUUGGCUCAGGCCUGUGGCGAGUUGGCUCUGGCGCGUCAUAUCUCCUCGAGGGCAUGUCCUGAGGAGGCUCUCCCUGCGGAAUCGCUGUGGUAGAAGAGGAGCAGCUUAGCUUGUCUGUCAGAAACUUGAUGGCCUUGAAGCACUUGAUGAGUAGCCUAUCUUGUUUCUUGCACCACCUCUGCAACUUACUGUUGUUUCUGUGAGCUUCGCUCAAGCUCUUGCUCUCCCUCGCUGGAGGUACAUGCUCACUGAAAUGAUACAUGCGCGUAUCGUACUCCUCCUCCCUAUCCUCAUCUGUCUCAGCAAUCUCAGCUUGGGUAGCUUCUUUGUAGGGACGUUGUCAUCAGUCGGUGGAGCGCUCUCAAAGUAGAGGUAAUCACGCGCAGGCUUGAAGUCAAUGUUUUCGCCCUGAAGUAUGGUUGUGGCCUCGGUGCAGGGAAGCAGAAUGUUGGCUGUUCGGGUCAAGGAGUGCUCAAAUUUGUAGCGAUAGAAAUCGCCAACCAUGUCGUGCUCCAGAAACUCACAACGACGCAAGUGAUCUAAAUCCAUCAUCCUCGGAUCAAACCCUGGAGACGUGAAAGGUACACCACAUGUAAUCAGAAUUGGUGUCACAACACCACCUACACAAAGGGCUCCUCGCGCCCUCUUCUUCCCGUUGGUGUGCGCCCACUUCCUGUAUCCACACAGGUGGAUCAACAGAAGCAUAACUGGUGGUGCAUCAUUGAGGUCGCCCUUCAGGACCUUCUUCCCCUUUGUUCUACGGAGAAUGCCCUUGAGUGCAGAAUUAAUCAUCUCCAUGUCUGUGUUAGACACGGUACCUGUAGAUUCCCUAGAGUACAGAACAUUCGCUAUAGAGCGUUGAUAGUAGCAGAUCACAGGGCUUCGAAUCUGGUUGCUCUUGGACCUCGCAGAGUUGAGCGCCAUAUCGUUCCCAAUAGUUAACCACAAAUCCUUCAACUCUUCCCUCUCUAACUUGGGUUUAGUUCCCUUUCCACUGGGUAAGCCAAACAAUCCUUCCAAGCUCCUGAUAGAUAGCUGGUAACACUGCUCGCUCACGGAAAAAGUCAAGAACCCCAACCCUUCACUCUCCAGCUCAUCUGCUGUAAGUCCCUGAUACAUCUCCACUUGCAGAGUGGAGAGAAACUCUCUUAUUUCCUUCUUGUAAGCGACGUACGGGUAAGACAUCAGUGUCUCCAGAUGACACUUCUCGAAUAGGUGUUGUACGUCCUCCGGUAGCCCCAGCUGGGCUAAAGUCUGAUAAUAGGGGUACUUCGUUCCCCAGAAGUCGUUCAGCUCGAAAAGUCUGAUGUACUCCUCCACUGGGACUUCAUUAGGCCUGUUCAACAGCUUCGUCUCUCUAUGCCAUGACUCAGGCUCAUACUCGACGUCAAUAUCAUCGUCGAUCAACUCAUAUCUGCUGGUCAUUGCUCUCUUUCCUCUAGCAAUCUCAGCUCUCCUCUCAUUGCGUCAAGUUACUGAGCGUUGGGUCUCCGCUCUGAAGCUCUCAUAAGCUUGUCGCUCUCUCUCUGGUCCAGUUGACCAAGAUUCAGCUUCAUCGAUGUUGUAAUCCGCAUCCAUGGAGGAUUCGCCACUGUAGUUACUCAUAUUGAUUUCCUGAAAAAGAAUGUAACUCAAAGCCAAACGUCAAUAUGUUAGUCCAAAUAAAUGCAAACACUAAACCGGUCAAGUACACGGUCGAGUAUUACGGUCGAGUACAGUGAAAUUAUGGUUUCGAGUUUAGCGGUAGAGUGAAGACGAAUGAGAGACGGUAAAUGCGUGGUCGAGUGAACGGCGAAUGGAGAGAAGACAGUGGCGGUUUGAGGAGCGGUCGAGUGAAGAGAUAAACGGAGGCGCAAUGAAUGGCGAGGUCGAGUGAACGGUGGAUAGUUGAGAGAUGGUGAAGCCGGUCCGGCGGUCGAGUAAAAGAGAGGGAACGGAGAUGAGGUCGAGUAGCGGUUGAGUAUGGAGAGGUGAGAAAAAGAAAUCGGAGUAGAGGUUGAGGUGCUCGUGCGGUCGAGUGAAGAGGAGGCGAGAGCGGUGAGAGAUGAUGAAACCGGUCCCGUCGUUGAGUGGAAGAGAGGGAGAAGGCAGUGGCGUGAGCGAUGAAAGCUGAAUUUUGGUCGAGUGAGAAAGUUGACGAAGUGGUGAGGGAUGGUGAAGUUGGGACGGCGAGGUCGAGUGAAGAGGAGGCGACGUUGAGACGGUGAAGGUCCGGCGGUAGAGUAGGCGGAGAAUAGAGAGGAGAGGCGUUUCGAUCGAGUGAAAGAGAGGCGGUGAGAGAGAUGUCGAGUGAUGUUUGGUCGAGUGAGAGACGUGACGGAGAAUGUGUCUGCGAGGUCGAGUGAAUGGAGAGGAAAAGAGAUGAUGUCGGUGGGAAAGGAUAGGGUGAGAUCGAGUGGUGGAGAAGUAGUCUUGGGAUUUCGUUAUCUCUAAAAACGCAUGUGGGAACAAAGGUGAGAGGUGGUGGGCCACACUCUGUCUGUUUGUCCUGAAGCACUGUUCUCUGUUGACUAGGAAUGUCUUAGAACCUUCUGUAAUCCUCUGUAAACUUGAUAAACUCUCUGUAAGUCUUUGUAGCUUCUGUUGGUCGAGUAUAAAUAUGAUUUCAAAAUUUUGGGUUUUUAAAAUCAUCACUAAUACUCGACCAAACUACUCGAUCUCAUGGUCUCUGAUUGCAACAGAACUUUU
RNAcentral lists this small RNA (3615 nucleotides) under Arabidopsis thaliana (thale cress). Its description in RNAcentral is "ATSL089180". The record is from RNAcentral. Lineage: Eukaryota; Viridiplantae; Streptophyta; Magnoliopsida; Brassicales; Brassicaceae.